Molecule: ribosomal RNA, 378 nt
Filed under: Seulocia pulchra
Lineage: Eukaryota; Metazoa; Arthropoda; Malacostraca; Decapoda; Leucosiidae
Description: partial 16S ribosomal RNA
Rfam family: Bacterial large subunit ribosomal RNA (bases 266-378)
Source: RNAcentral
GACAAAAUAAAUAUUGUCUCUAUUGUUAAAAUAAAAUUUAACUUUUAAGUGAAAAGGCUUAAAUUAGCCAGAGUGACGAUAAGACCCUAUAAAGCUUUAUAUUUGUAUUUUAUUUUAAAAAAUUAAUUUAAUUAUAAAUUUAAAAUACUUUAAUUAAUUGGGGCGAUGUAUAAAUAAUUUCUUUAACUUUAUGUAUUUAAAACAUUUAUGUAUGUAGUGUAGAUUAAUAGAUCCUUAAUAUGGAUUAAAGGAAAGUUACUUUAGGGAUAACAGCGUAAUUUUUUUUGAGAGUUCAUAUCGAAAAAAAAGAUUGCGACCUCGAUGUUGAAUUAAAAAUUCUAUUUAAUGCAGCAGUUAAAUAAGAAGGUCUGUUCGACC